GAUGAAGAACGUAGCAAAAUGCGAUAAGUAAUGUGAAUUGCAGAAUUCAGUGAAUCAUCGAAUCUUUGAACGCACAUUGCGCCCGCCAGUAUUCUGGCGGGCAUGCCUGUUCGAGCGUCAUUUCAACCCUCAAGCUCAGCUUGGUGUUGGGACUCGCGGUAACCCGCGUUCCCCAAAUCGAUUGGCGGUCACGUCGAGCUUCCAUAGUGUAGUAAUCAUACACCUCGUUACUGGUAAUCGUCGCGGCCACGCCGUAAAACCCCAACUUCUGAAUGUUGACCUCGGAUCAGGUAGGAAUACCCGCUGAACUUAAGCAUAUCAAUAAGCGGAGGA
This 333-nucleotide unclassified non-coding RNA is filed under the name soil metagenome. Its description in RNAcentral is "partial contains 5.8S ribosomal RNA, internal transcribed spacer 2, and large subunit ribosomal RNA". The stretch from base 1 to 120 matches the Rfam family "5.8S ribosomal RNA", at positions 35 to 154 of the family's 154-position model. The record is from RNAcentral.